GACGAACGCUGGCGGCGUGCUUAACACAUGCAAGUCGAACGGACAGGCCCUGCUUUUGUGGGGUGCUCGAGUGGCGAACGGGUGAGUAACACGUGAGUAACCUGCCCUUGACUUUGGGAUAACUUCAGGAAACUGGGGCUAAUACCGGAUAGGAGCUCCUGCUGCAUGGUGGGGGUUGGAAAGUUUCGGCGGUUGGGGAUGGACUCGCGGCUUAUCCGCUUGUUGGUGGAGUAGUGGCUUACGAAGGCUUUGACGGGUAGCCGGCCUGAGAGGGUGACCGGGCACAUGGGUACUAAGGUACGGCCCAGACUGCUACGGGAGGCAGCGGUGGGGAAUAUUGCGCAAUGGGCGGAAGCCUGAUGCAGAAGCGCCGCGUGCGGGAUGACGGCCUUCGGGUUGUAAACCGCUUUCGCCUGUGACGAGGCGUGAGUGACGGUAAUGGGUAAAGAAGCACCGGCUAACUACGUG
Molecule: ribosomal RNA, 468 nt
Filed under: uncultured bacterium
Lineage: Bacteria
Description: partial 16S ribosomal RNA
Rfam family: Bacterial small subunit ribosomal RNA
Source: RNAcentral